RNAcentral lists this ribosomal RNA (514 nucleotides) under uncultured Glomus. Its description in RNAcentral is "SSU rRNA". It matches the Rfam family "Eukaryotic small subunit ribosomal RNA", at positions 569 to 1089 of the family's 1831-position model. Lineage: Eukaryota; Fungi; Glomeromycota; Glomeromycetes; Glomerales; Glomeraceae. The record is from RNAcentral.
AGCAGCCGCGGUAAUUCCAGCUCCAAUAGCGUAUAUUAAAGUUGUUGCAGUUAAAAGCUCGUAGUUGAAUUUCGGGACUAAUAUGUCGGUCGUGCCUCGGUACGCACUGGCUUAUUGGUUUCUCCUUUCUGAAGAACCAUGAUGUCAUUUAUUUGGUGUCGUGGGGAAUCAGGACUGUUACUUUGAAAAAUUAGAGUGUUUAAAGCAGGCUCACGCUUGAAUACAUUAGCAUGGAAUAAUGAAAUAGGACGUUUGAUUCUAUUUUGUUGGUUUCUAGGAUCGACGUAAUGAUUAAUAGGGAUAGUUGGGGGCAUUAGUAUUCAAUUGUCAGAGGUGAAAUUCUUGGAUUUAUUGAAGACUAACUACUGCGAAAGCAUUUGCCAAGGAUGUUGUCACUAAUCAAGAACGAAAGUUAGGGGAUCGAAGACGAUCAGAUACCGUCGUAGUCUUAACCAUAAACUAUGCCGACUAGGGAUCGGAUGAUGUUAAUUUUUAAUGACUCAUUCGGCGUCCG